RNAcentral lists this ribosomal RNA (501 nucleotides) under Paenibacillus glucanolyticus. RNAcentral's name for it is "bacterial SSU rRNA". It matches the Rfam family "Bacterial small subunit ribosomal RNA", at positions 928 to 1427 of the family's 1533-position model. The record is from RNAcentral. Lineage: Bacteria; Bacillati; Bacillota; Bacilli; Caryophanales; Paenibacillaceae.
AGCAGUGGAGUAUGUGGUUUAAUUCGAAGCAACGCGAAGAACCUUACCAAGUCUUGACAUCCCUCUGAAUCUGCUAGAGAUAGCAGCGGCCUUCGGGACAGAGGAGACAGGUGGUGCAUGGUUGUCGUCAGCUCGUGUCGUGAGAUGUUGGGUUAAGUCCCGCAACGAGCGCAACCCUUGAUUUUAGUUGCCAGCAGGUAAGGCUGGGCACUCUAGAAUGACUGCCGGUGACAAACCGGAGGAAGGCGGGGAUGACGUCAAAUCAUCAUGCCCCUUAUGACUUGGGCUACACACGUACUACAAUGGCUGGUACAACGGGAAGCGAAGCCGCGAGGUGGAGCCAAUCCUAUAAAAGCCAGUCUCAGUUCGGAUUGCAGGCUGCAACUCGCCUGCAUGAAGUCGGAAUUGCUAGUAAUCGCGGAUCAGCAUGCCGCGGUGAAUACGUUCCCGGGUCUUGUACACACCGCCCGUCACACCACGAGAGUUUACAACACCCGAAGU